RNAcentral lists this ribosomal RNA (443 nucleotides) under uncultured Prevotella sp. Its description in RNAcentral is "bacterial SSU rRNA". It matches the Rfam family "Bacterial small subunit ribosomal RNA", at positions 354 to 794 of the family's 1533-position model. The record is from RNAcentral. Lineage: Bacteria; Pseudomonadati; Bacteroidota; Bacteroidia; Bacteroidales; Prevotellaceae.
UGAGGGAAUAUUGGGUCAAUGGACGGAAGUCUGAACCAGCCAAGUAGCGUGCAGGACGACGGCCCUAUGGGUUGUAAACUGCUUUUAUGUGGGAAUAAAGUGAGGGACGUGUCCCUUUUUGUAGGUACCGCAUGAAUAAGGACCGGCUAAUUCCGUGCCAGCAGCCGCGGUAAUACGGAAGGUCCAGGCGUUAUCCGGAUUUAUUGGGUUUAAAGGGAGCGUAGGCCGCCCCUUAAGCGUGUUGUGAAAUGCCGCGGCUCAACCGUGGCACUGCAGCGCGAACUGGGGGCUUGAGUGCACGCAACGCAGGCGGAAUUCGUGGUGUAGCGGUGAAAUGCUUAGAUAUCACGAAGAACUCCGAUUGCGAAGGCAGCUUGCGGGAGCGCAACUGACGCUGAAGCUCGAAGGUGCGGGUAUCGAACAGGAUUAGAUACCCUGGUAGU